UACGGGGGGGAGCAAGCGUUGUUCGGAUUUACUGGGCGUAAAGGCGCGUAGGCGGUCAGCACAAGUCAGUUGUGAAAUCUCCGGGCUUAACUCGGAAAGGUCAACUGAUACUGUGCGACUAGAGUGCGGAAGGGGCAACUGGAAUUCUCGGUGUAGCGGUGAAAUGCGUAGAUAUCAGGAGGAACACCGGUGGCGAAGGCGGCUCUCUGGACCACAACUGACGCUGAGGCGCGAAAGCUAGGGGAGCAAACAGG
RNAcentral lists this ribosomal RNA (254 nucleotides) under uncultured bacterium. Its description in RNAcentral is "partial 16S ribosomal RNA". It matches the Rfam family "Bacterial small subunit ribosomal RNA", at positions 524 to 776 of the family's 1533-position model. The record is from RNAcentral.